UGUACAUAUAUCGCGUUUAAUUCAAAAUUUAAGUCGUAAUUUAUAAAUUUUAUGAGUGCGUGAAAUUGUUUGUGUUUUUUUUUUUAUAAUUUUGUUCAAAAUUAAACGUGUGUGCCGAAAUUGAUCAGAAGUUUUCCAUAUACUUGCUAUUAUAAUUAAAUUCAUUUCUGUAACAUGUCUGUCAGUUCUAGUCUCUUGUCUAGUGGAUGUACUACUGGUGGAGAUAACGUUAUGUUCACUUCAUCCAAUUCAAACAAUAGUGUACCUCGAAAUACAUUUCCAGUAUUACGUUAUACCCGUAAAGAAUUGCUCUCAUUAUGCGAUAAAAACUAUAAAGUACCUGAAAUAUUACCAACGUUUAAGCAAAUAUUUGUGGAGAAGGUGCACUUGCCAUUAGCUGUUAUUACAAGCAGAGAUGAACUACUGCUAC
Bactrocera neohumeralis is the source of this 430-nucleotide long non-coding RNA. RefSeq lists it as uncharacterized. The transcript is spliced from 3 exons. The record is from RefSeq and is a predicted model, not a curated record. NCBI's taxonomy places the organism in Eukaryota, Metazoa, Arthropoda, Insecta, Diptera, Tephritidae.